RNAcentral lists this ribosomal RNA (373 nucleotides) under uncultured bacterium. RNAcentral's name for it is "bacterial SSU rRNA". It matches the Rfam family "Bacterial small subunit ribosomal RNA", at positions 28 to 402 of the family's 1533-position model. The record is from RNAcentral.
GACGAACGCUGGCGGCGUGCUUAACACAUGCAAGUCGAGCGGUAAGGCCCUUUCGGGGGUACACGAGCGGCGAACGGGUGAGUAACACGUGGGUGACCUGCCCUCAGCUCUGGGAUAAGCCUGGGAAACCGGGUCUAAUACCGGAUAUGACUCCAUGACGCAUGUUGUGGGGUGGAAAGCCUUGUGCGGCUGAGGAUGGGCCCGCGGCCUAUCAGCUUGUUGGUGGGGUGANGGCCUACCAAGGCGACGACGGGUAGCCGGCCUGAGAGGGCGACCGGCCACACUGGGACUGAGACACGGCCCAGACUCCUACGGGAGGCAGCAGUGGGGAAUCUUGCGCAAUGGGCGAAAGCCUGACGCAGCGACGCCGCGU